This is a non-coding RNA of Pangasius djambal, 73 nucleotides long. NCBI's taxonomy places the organism in Eukaryota, Metazoa, Chordata, Actinopteri, Siluriformes, Pangasiidae. The record is from the annotation of a GenBank genome assembly.
UCCCUAGUGGUCUAGUGGCUAAGGAUCCAGCAUUCUCACUGCUGUGGCCCAAGUUCAAUUCCCAGCCAGGGAA